Transfer RNA from Ipomoea nil (Japanese morning glory), 72 nucleotides. It matches the Rfam family "tRNA". Rfam says of the family: Transfer RNA (tRNA) molecules are approximately 80 nucleotides in length. Their secondary structure includes four short double-helical elements and three loops (D, anti-codon, and T loops). The record is from Rfam. Lineage: Eukaryota; Viridiplantae; Streptophyta; Magnoliopsida; Solanales; Convolvulaceae.
GCCUCCAUAGCACAGUGGUAGUGCGUUUUCUUCGUAAGUGAAAGGUCGUGAGUUCAAUCCUUACUAGAGGCU